Gorilla gorilla gorilla (western lowland gorilla) is the source of this 5901-nucleotide long non-coding RNA. RefSeq lists it as uncharacterized. The transcript has 2 exons. Lineage: Eukaryota; Metazoa; Chordata; Mammalia; Primates; Hominidae. The record is from RefSeq and is a predicted model, not a curated record.
GGAGUAUCCUUUAAAUCACACUGGGAACACUUAUAGUAAGGCACAUGUUUACUCAGCUGUCUGUUCCCCCUUCCAGAAUGAGAGGAGCUUCCUGAGGCAGUGACUGUGCCUCAUCCACCUUCGAAUACCAGGGCUCAGCACCAGAGUCAGAAAAACUUUUAGGCUAAGUACCUCAUUUUACUACAGCCUUUAAAAAGGAAAGACCACAAGAAAGGAACCUUCCAGAUAAUGAAUACUGAACAGGAAGAAGAAAAAGAAGCUGGUGCUCCCAUGACAGAUAAUAUCCCCAGAGGCUGUAAGAGAAGACAAUAAACAAACAAAAAACAAUAAAAGGAAGAAAUUUGAGUGUGAACAGUCCCUACAGUCCCUGCUUGACAACCCCCUCAAGGACUUAUCAAUAAGAUAGUAAGUGUCAAAGUGCUUGAUGCAAGUGUAGCUCAAGGCCAGGCAUGGUGGCUCACGCCUCUAAUCCCAGCACUUUGGGAGGCUGAGAUGAGUGGAUCACUUGAAGUCGGGAGUUCAAGACGAGCCUGGCCAACGUGGUGAAACCUUGUCUCUUACUAAAAAUACAAACAUUAGCCAGGGGUGGUGCCUCAGGCCUGUAAUCCCAGCUACUCGGGAGCCUGAGGCAGGAGAAUCACUUGGACCAGGGAGGCAGAAGUUGCAGUGAGCUGAGAUCACGCCACUGCACUCCAGCCUGGGUGACAGAGCGAGACUCUGUCUAAAACAAAACAAAACAAAACAAAACAACCACACAAAUGUAGCUCAAUUAGGAUAAUUUAUGGUCCCAGUCAUGAGCACUCCACCAGGGGUCUGAGGGACUGAAGACAGACCUGGGCACUAACAGAAAGAACAAGUCACUCUCGGCACAGCGACUACACACGCCCUAGAGCUGUGGUUCCCUGACUUUCACCUGCCGUGCCUGUCAAGCACGUUGUGGCCAACCUGGCUUAGUCCAGGCAUGGCAGGUCCCCAUGCAAUGACAAACAAAGCAGGAGCUUCCUGUUGGGUUUCCACGGCAGCCUCAGGGCCCAGCUAGCCAGAAAGAGUGUGGCCAGCAGGCACUGCCCCGCUCAGGUUGGGACCCAGCCAGUGAGCUGAAUGUUCAGGAAGGCCUUCAGAAAAUCAGUCAGCGACUAGAGCUUUUUAAAAAAACAAACAAACAAAAAAAACCAAUAGCCUUGAAACCUACCUGAGGUGGGGCUGCAAAAUGGACACUGUGGACUCAUCUGCUUAGCAACUUUACCACAUCCUGAGUUGGCACGUUUUAAAUACUUAACUGCACUGCACCGCCUGGCCCUUUAUCCAGGGAAAUUAGGAACAGAUAGAAUCAGAAACCACAGAGACACAGGCAAGAAUGGAUGCAACUAGAAAUCUGUUUUGGAUUAUCAGACUGGAACUAGGAUUUCCAGCUCGGUACAUCAGACGCCUGAGCACAUAAAACCCCUGCUUUUUCCUGAGCGCACCAGUUCUGCCUUCUGUGUGGAGUAAGAGUUUGACAGGCGUCCCAAUUCCACGUUCACGUGAGAGCAGAACAUCUUUAAUGCAAAGGCCCAAAGCUUUUCCUGAUUAAAGUAGUGUUAGCCUCAGCGGCCCAGGGACACGAUUCUUGGAGGAAGCUAUGGGGCUCAAGGAGGCCUUUCUUCCAUUCUUAGUCUUCAUGGAUUGGGAGGAUUUCCUGUGUCAGCGGAAGUUAGUCUAGGAGUUCUUACCAUGGGAGGACUUCGGGAGGACUUAGCAUGGGAGGACUCCUAGUCCGGGAGUUCUUGGCAUGGGAGGACUUCUUAGCAUAGGAAGACCUCCUAUGCUAAGAACUCCUAGCCUAGGUCCCACUGACGGAGGAGAUGCUGACGGCCGGCAGAGGAGCCCUUCUGCCGAGAGGAAGCCAAGGUGCUGCCGGGAAGAGCAAGGGCCCUUCCUGAGGCCUUGUGGAAGCAAACACCACUCCCCACUGCCUGAGAACUGGAGCGAAGAGAGCAUCUCACGAUGACUCCAGGGCUACAGAGAAUGGAGACCAACUUGCACUUCCUAAGGAAGUCCCAAAGAAACUUCCCUUUCAGGACCCUCUGCUCAGGGAAAUGGGUGAGGCCUCCAACCUGGGUUAGGUGGACUGGGGGACAGGGCUCUGAAUCCUUGGCUCUACUGCAACAAGAGAAAUUAUUCUCUGAGGUGUUCCAUAUACCGGGUUCAUUUCUAACAUGUUUCGGUUACAAUAGAUCUGGGUCCCCCUUGAUUAGAGGAGCUGUCCGCAGGCAACCUUUUCUUGGUACCUUCUUCCUGACAUAUCAAGACUUGCUGAGACUAGGGAGUCUUCCCUUUGGGACGAAGGGAAAUUCCAUUCUCUUGAUCAUGAUUUUGACAGCUGGGGAGCCCAGCCCGGCCUUCCUCCUGGCUGUUUGGAACAGUGGACCGUGAUGCUGAGGCGAGAAGGGGCAGUCCUGCCUCUGCGCCUCCACUACUCACCUGAGGGACACAGACAAGAUCCGUUCUAUCUCGAUUUUCCGCUUCAGGACUUCUUUCACCAGGCCCUUGUCUGGGCCCUGUUUGACUUUUUCUCGUCCGAUUAAGUACAAGCACUUUGGGGUAAGGAGCAGGUCUCGCUUUACACCCUGUAAGGAGAGGAGCUUUAAGAAGCUGGACAGGCCAGGCACGGUGGCUCACACCUGUAAUCCCAGUACUUUGGGAGGCUGAAGCGGGUGAAUCACCUGAGGUCAGGAGUUCGAGACCAGCCUGACCAACAUGGUGAAACCCCGUCUCUACUGAAAAUACAAAAAUUAGCUGGGUGUGGUGGUGGGCGCCUGCAAUCCCAACUACUUGGGAGGCUGAGGCAGGAGAAUCGCUUUAACCUGGGAGGUGGAGGUUGCAGUGAGCCGAGACUGCGCCAUUGCACUCCAGCCUGGGUGACGGAGCAAGACUCCGUCUCAAAAAAAAGGUGGACAGACAUGGUCAAUGUGAUGACAACAAUUCACACAGUGGACCGCUGUUACCAGGACAGGGGGAAGCUGCCUUGGACAGUCAAUCUUCACUACUGUUGAGAGGCCAUUCCAUUCAUCACAUGACCGGGCCCCAUGACAGUGAAAGAGGGCAUUGUUCAUGAUUAUUAGGAUGACAUGUAAAAAAUGAUGACAUUUGACUCUUUUUGACUUAAAAACUGGCAAACUCAUAUGGAGUCAGUUCAUGUAUCAGGACAGCAGGUGUAAAGGGAAAGUCACCAACACCUGUGGUGAACUUACCAAGGAUGCACUACAGCAUGUUUCUAAACGGGGGCAGUGUCUGCAUAUAUUUUCUUGGGAGUUCAUAAAAUUUUCAUUUUAAAAUACUGAUAUAUUGUCAUUUGAAUGAUAAUUCUCAAUAAUCUAAUAUAAAUCUACUUGGGAAUUUGUGGGUAACCGCUUUAUAAUGAGUACCGCUGCGAGAGCUAAGCACCCCGGUGUGCAUCCAGGGCUGCCGUCACAGCAGCUGGUGCCAUGCACAGGUUGCAAGGAAUGGUUUGGUUUUAGCAAAACAUGCUUCCGUUGUUUAUUUCAUUAAAUUUUUUUCUUGACCUCCCCGCCCCUGGCAAAAAACCAAAAGCUCUUAACGGGUCCAUGAGCUGCUGAAGCUUCAGAUUUUUCUAUUAGGAGCAAGACUUUAUCAAAAGGCAUCUAAAGGAGGAGGUGAAAAAUCAACUGUUCCUCCUGUGGCUGGGAAAGCCUUACUUAUCAGCCACUCUGGGAAAAUGGAUGAGGAUACUCUGCAAUAUUACUUGAUAUUCUGAAUCCUUUGAUUCAACGAUUUCACUCCUAUCAAUUUCUUCUAAAAAUAUUAGGAGACAGAUAGAUACACAAAGAUGUGUGAAAAGAUGCUCAUUGAAGUUAUGAUAGUAAAAAAGAAAAACUCACUAAAAAUUAAUUCAUGAGAAACUGGUUAAAAAUAAUAAAGCAUCUGUCAAAUGGAAUACUAUGCAGCCAUGUAAAAUAACUUAUAUUGCUAACUGUAUUACUAUCGAAAAUUCUCCCUGGCAUUAUUUAAAAGACAAACAAACAAAAAACCACUUCAGGACAUAAAACAGCAUGUAAUGUAUAUCUCAUUUUUUGUAAAACUAAAUACGCAAAUGUAUGUUUUCAUAAAAACAUUCUGAAAGAUAUGGAUAUACACAGAAUGUUAACAGUGAUUGUUUCUGGGCAUAGGUGCCUGUUUUUCUUUUGGUUUACUGUAUUUUCUCUAAAUUUUUCUACAACGAACACAUUCUGAUUUGGUAACAACAAAAGCAAAAUAACAAGUUAUUAAAAAAAUAAGGAAUCUGUUUGGUGAUCUCAGAGGCAGGCAGUUAGCACGUACCUUGAACCUCCUGUCAUACUUGGUGACUGUGUCUGCGAAAUCAAUCUUCUCCCUCUUGCCCACGAACUGCUGGAGUUCUGGGUGCUCUUCCAUCCCAAUAUAAUCCCCUAUAAAGUUCCUGUUAAUACUGUUUCUCCUUCUCUCCUUCUUGUUCAAUAAGAGGUCCGAGGCUACAAUUCCCAAGAGGGUGAAGAUGGAAGAAGGAUAAGUCAGUCAGAAAAGGUAGGAAAAUACUGUGGAAAUAUACAAAGAAACUCUAAAUGAUGCAAUAUUUUUAGCGUGACAUUAUAUGCAAAAUAAAAUGGAACUUAAAACUUCACUUAAGCUCCAAUUUACUCUUCAGAUUUGUUAAAAUCAAUGAAACAAAAUUGCUAAAAUACCUUCUUCUCUCAUUUGAACGUAUUUCUUCCGGGCCACGAAUUUCCUCCAUGAUUUCUGUAUCACUCGAGCAUACCCAUCAUACUUUCUCUCUCUCAUCUCUUCUAAAAGAAAUAGCUGUGAAUGGAGAGAAGACAAAUGUGAGCCAAGCCUCAAGCCUCAAUCCCUGAACAACACUUUUCUUGUUAUUCCAGGGACACUCAGUUUAGACAAUGACACACACGGGAAGCAGCUUCUCUGAUUCAUGAACGAAUAUGUGAAACGCUUACUGUGGCAUGUUGUUUAUUCUUACUAUAAAACGACCUAUACCUUUUUUUCUUUUAAUGGAAAACAAUGGGAAAUAGGAGAAUCUGAGUGUAUUCAGUUAGACCUUGUCCUGCUUUGCUACAGUCCCUGUGAGAAUCGAAUGAGCGAUUCAAUGCUUCUCCACUUAUUCCCCACCUUGAUCCAAAGAGUAUAUUAUUAGGAAGUCAGAUCAAGUGAGUGGGUGGAGGCUGUUGCUGUUGUUUGGCGUGGCAUUUCGGCAUGCAGCCUCUAAACAGAAUUUUCCAGUUUCUGCAGGAGCUGGGCUUGUGCUGCUGUGGAAGGAGGGCUGCCCUACUUUUAGUUCCAAGAAAAUAUAGACUUCCUGUCUCAGGAUUCACCAAUCUCAGGAUUCACCAAGGAGCAGCGGAGCAGAGGAUAAUAACCACAGUGACUGGAGCUGGACGUGAGGUGUGUUAAUGAGGACUUGCAUUUGCCCAGAAAGGCUGGGGCUGUUUAGGAACCACAUCAGCCUCUAGCAGGUCUUGAGAGUCUGGCUAUUUUACCAAUGAAUGCUGACAGCUGCGCCUCAACCAGGCCUUGGAAUGAUAAAGGUGACAGCAAACAGCUGUAGUGAGCCGAGUGCCCACUAUGGGGCAGAAGUCACCCUAGAUGAUUUCCACACAGUUUCAUUCAACGCCUCCACAGCUACAUGAGCCGCAUACUCUGUCAUCUCUAUUUUACAGAUGAGAACAUUGGAACUAAGACUGGGUGGGGCUAGAAAGUGAACCUAGGUCUUUCAGGCUCUGCCAGCCUCCUCCUCAUUUAGACACGCAAAGCUUUCUCUGUAAAUCUGCACUUGAUCCACUUGUAAAAUAGUAGGAAACCUUCUCAUUUACCUUGAGAGUGGCUUACAUGACUCUCUAGGAAAAAAAUAAAAUCAACCAAUAAAAAUCCAAA